GACGUAGGGCGCGAGCGUUGUCCGGAUUUAUUGGGCGUAAAGAGCUCGUAGGCGGCUUGUCGCGUCGACUGCGAAAACCCGCGGCUUAACUGCGGGACUGCAGUCGAUACGGGCAGGCUAGAGUUCGGUAGGGGAGACUGGAAUUCCUGGUGUAGCGGUGAAAUGCGCAGAUAUCAGGAAGAACACCCGUGGCGAAGGCGGCUCUCUGGGACGGUACUGACGCUGAGACGCGAAAGCGUGGGGAGCGAACAGG
This 253-nucleotide ribosomal RNA is filed under the name uncultured bacterium. Its description in RNAcentral is "partial 16S ribosomal RNA". It matches the Rfam family "Bacterial small subunit ribosomal RNA", at positions 524 to 776 of the family's 1533-position model. The record is from RNAcentral.